AGAGGGGUGACGAAAAGAGCCGAAGCUGUUGAAGGCGAAGAGCUGAGUGAGGGAAGAGAGCAGAGAAGACGAACGGCACACAGUCGAUGGAUCAGCUAAGGUAGGACAGGGACCAGUCAGAAUAGUAA
Molecule: long non-coding RNA, 128 nt
Filed under: Piliocolobus tephrosceles (Ugandan red Colobus)
Lineage: Eukaryota; Metazoa; Chordata; Mammalia; Primates; Cercopithecidae
Description: lncRNA (ENSPTEG00000017561.1)
Source: RNAcentral